RNAcentral lists this ribosomal RNA (119 nucleotides) under Pteropus alecto (black flying fox). Lineage: Eukaryota; Metazoa; Chordata; Mammalia; Chiroptera; Pteropodidae. The record is from RNAcentral.
GCCUACGGCCAUGCCACCCUGAACGUGCCCAACCUCAUCUGAUCUCGUAAGCUAAGCAGGGUCAGACCUGGUUAGUACUUAGAUGGGAGACCACCUAGGAAGACCAGGUGCUAUAGGCG